UGGGGAACUUGCGCCAUGGGGGAAACCCUUACGCAGCCACGCCGCGUGCGGGAUGAAGGCCCUUGGGUUGUUAACCGCUUUUAGCCGGGACGAGGCCUUAUGGUGACGGUACCUGCAGAAGAAGCUCCGGCCAAAUACGUGCCAGCAGCCGCGGUAAUACGUAUGGAGCAAGCGUUAUCCGGAUUCAUUGGGCGUAAAGCGCUCGUAGGCGGUCUGUUAGGUCGGCAAGUUAAAUCCGGGGGCUCAACCCCCGUCCGCUUCCGAUACCGGCAGACUUGAGUUUGGUAGGGGAAGGUGGAAUUCCUAGUGUAGCGGUGGAAUGCGCAGAUAUUAGGAAGAACACCGGUGGCGAAGGCGGCCUUCUGGGCCAUAACUGACGCUGAGGAGCGAAAGCUAGGGGAGCGAACAGG
This 410-nucleotide ribosomal RNA is filed under the name Bacteroidota bacterium. RNAcentral describes it as "Bacteroidetes bacterium partial 16S ribosomal RNA". It matches the Rfam family "Bacterial small subunit ribosomal RNA", at positions 356 to 776 of the family's 1533-position model. The record is from RNAcentral. Lineage: Bacteria; Pseudomonadati; Bacteroidota.